UCCGGAGUAAGUGCAGAAAGAGGUUAACAAGCUUUCUUUGGUGGAGACCUACUAAAAACUUCUGAAACGCUCUCGUGAUUGAACCCUAACUCGGCGGCCGCCAUCCCUCGCGGUCGCCGGAUCUGAUCUUGAAAACUGUAUUUUCUCCCUUUCCUCUCUUAGAUCUCUUCUCCUCUUUCUUUUAGAGCUGCUCCAGUUGCCCGUGUUCUGAAUAUACUCUAUAAGAGCUUUUGGUUUUUCAGAUCUGUGAUCCUCUUGUAGUUCUGGGUGCGUAGAGUGGUGUUUGUCGGUGGUGGUUAAGGGUUGGUCCCUUCUAUGGCCUCCAUCUGCGUCUCCUAGCGAGGUAAAAGUCUGAGCCUUGGUGUCUCUGUUGUGAUGUGGCCGUUGUGUCUACAAUCGGUUUUGGUUAGUGUUGCAACUCUUUGUUAGGGGUUGAACCCAGUUAGUCUGUCUUGGAUUUUAGAGUUGGUCUUGGUUGGUCUUUGGUUCUGCAACGGUGAAGCAGUGAGGUGGUGUUGUGAGGAGCAGUCGAAGGUUUUAUGGGUUUGAGAUGAAGACAAGUUCAGUUCAUCUCUUCACCUGCUGUGUUUUAAAGGUAUCAUAUCUCGUCCUUUGAAUAAGUGUUCCUGGUUUGCCUUUGGUCGUUCUUCCUCGGUGGCUUCAACUCGUGAAGCAAUAAAAUGAGGUUGAAGUGUGGAGGUGUCCAGAUGAAGGGGCGAUUGAAGAUGAAAUUUCACAGGUGUGGUUCCCUCUGGUGUUAUGUUUGGCCUAUGGUAUUGUGGUUUGGUUGUUGUCAUCGUGAACAAGUGAUUCAGAUGAGGUCUUUGUGCUCUGGUGUUGUCAUCUUGGACAGGAGAUUCAGAUGAGGUUUUGUGGUUUGGUGUUGUCAUCUUGAACAUGAGGUUCAGAUGAGGUUCUGCUCUCCUUCA
Molecule: long non-coding RNA, 929 nt
Filed under: Brassica napus (rape)
Lineage: Eukaryota; Viridiplantae; Streptophyta; Magnoliopsida; Brassicales; Brassicaceae
Description: long non-coding RNA (BNAP_LNC003562)
Source: RNAcentral